UUUAUUUGAGAGUUUGAUCCUGGCUCAGGAUGAACGCUGGCGGCGUGCCUAAUACAUGCAAGUCGAGCGAAUGGAUUAAGAGCUUGCUCUUAUGAAGUUAGCGGCGGAC
Molecule: ribosomal RNA, 109 nt
Filed under: Bacillus anthracis (anthrax bacterium)
Lineage: Bacteria; Bacillati; Bacillota; Bacilli; Caryophanales; Bacillaceae
Description: partial 16S ribosomal RNA
Rfam family: Bacterial small subunit ribosomal RNA
Source: RNAcentral